This 1765-nucleotide long non-coding RNA is filed under the name Homo sapiens (human). RNAcentral's name for it is "HSALNT0166900". The record is from RNAcentral. Lineage: Eukaryota; Metazoa; Chordata; Mammalia; Primates; Hominidae.
GGGUGAGCUCUGUUAAGUGGCAGCUGUUGUUGCUGCCACUGCCACUGUUGUCCUCACUCCUGUUGGGGAACAUGCCCCACUCCUGUGUCCCACCUCACCCCCCUCACUCACCCACUCCCCGGAGUGUGGGGACUUGUCAUGGCUCCAAUCACUGCAUCUGUGGCUAGAGUGGCUUUUAAAGGCUCAGACUCGAACCACUGAUCCAGCACCUGGACAGCACAACAGCAGAGAGAAGGGCUUAGGAGCCUGGAUGGGAGGAGGGCCCUCUCACUGCCUGGUCGGGCCUGAGGCUGGGGAACCACUCACCUUGGUAAUGGGAGCUGUGAGGACCUCAUAAUAUCGGGGAAGCUGGGCUCCCAGGAUGCGGCCUACAAGAGAAGAUCCACAAAACAGAAGUUGAAACAGGUGACAGGGAAACCCUCCGACCUGGCCUGGGGGAUAAAAGCAUGGAGGAUGCUGAGACUUCCUGCCAGGAGGUGGUAUAGCACAGCCAAUGCAGGGACAGAUCCAGCUUGAGUCCUGGCCACACCUCUCACUAGCUGCAGUGCCUGGGACACAUUUUUAACAUCUCUGAACCUGCUUCUUUACCUGUAAAAUGGGAAUCCUAUUUUACACCCCAAGGGCUACGGUGAGGAUUAAAUGAGCUAGGUAAAGCAUUUGCAAGUUCAUGGGUACUUAAUACAUUUAAGCAGUUAGCAUUAUUUUUGGAAAAUUUUAAACUUGUACCUUAUUCCCUUAUUUCGAACUCUGGAAGGCCCAUAUCCUGGGAGAAGGCUGGCAUGGCUGAUCCAUUCCUAUGACCCUGAUUCAGACCAUUUCAGAAAGAAACUAGGCUUUAAGGCCUUCAGGGUAGAAAUCAUGGUCUCUAGCCUUACAGCCCCUGGGCCUAGCUUAGUGUCUGACACAUAGUAGUUGCUCAAUAAAUGUUUUUUGCCUGUUUUUCACACAGAGCUCCUUGGACUGGUUAUCUGAGAGAGAGGCAGUGUCUACUUUUUGCAUUUGUAAUAGAUUCCACUGGCUCCAUACUCUUUGCAAUGUAUAAGUCUGCAGUGCCUCUCAACCCACCACAACUUGGUUAACCUGCCUGGCUCCUUGGCUCUGGGCUCAUCCAUGUGAUUUGGUCAGCCAGUGGAAUGUUUGCCGAUGUGACACAAACCCAGAACUGAAACAGGCCUGUACAUUGGGGCAUGCCCUCUGUGCUUGUGCCACUGAUGUGAAAAGUCCACACCCAGGUCAGCAUGUGCUUCUACAAGGAGGACGAGAGGUACCUGGAGCAGAGCUGCCUCCACUGAGCUGCUGCAGACACAAACACAUGCCUGAGACCAAACCAGAUCAGCUGAGCCAGCUGGAAUCAGCUGAACCACGAAGACAUGUGGGAAACAAAUGAUUUUUUUUCUAGGAUAUAGAGGUUAAACUGGUCUGUAUACCCUCAAGGAGGGUAGAAAAUAAUAGCACACUUAAUGAGCCUUCCAUUCGCAUACUCAUGGCAGACAUUACUAAUUGAUCACAGAACUUCUCCUUGCUGAGCCCAAAUCUAGCAUUCUUCCUGUAUGGGGGCAGCUCUUCAAAUCUCUUGGCCCCUAUAUCUUAUUCUAGCCACAGCCAUGAUGCUGAGCUCCAAGCAGGCUUUGAUCAGCUUCACACAGGCAACUCCACAGCAACUCACUUCAGUCCUGAAAAGUGAGCCUCUCUACUUCUUCCCUAGGGCUUCUCUGGCACCAGGGCAGGGCACUCAUGGGAACCUACUUGGCACCCACAGAUGCAC